UUAAUUCGAAGCAACGCGAAGAACCUUACCUAAGCUUGACAUCCCAAUGACAUCUCCUUAAUCGGAGAGUUCCCUUCGGGGACAUUGGUGACAGGUGGUGCAUGGUUGUCGUCAGCUCGUGUCGUGAGAUGUUGGGUUAAGUCCCGCAACGAGCGCAACCCUUGUCUUUAGUUGCCAUCAUUAAGUUGGGCACUCUAGAGAGACUGCCAGGGAUAACCUGGAGGAAGGUGGGGAUGACGUCAAAUCAUCAUGCCCCUUAUGCUUAGGGCUACACACGUGCUACAAUGGGUAGUACAGAGGGUUGCCAAGCCGUAAGGUGGAGCUAAUCCCUUAAAGCUACUCUCAGUUCGGAUUGUAGGCUGAAACUCGCCUACAUGAAGCUGGAGUUACUAGUAAUCGCAGAUCAGAAUGCUGCGGUGAAUGCGUUCCCGGGUCUUGUACACACCGCCCGUCACACCACGAGAGUUGGAGACGCCCGAAGCCGAUUAUCUAACCUUUUGGAAGAAGUCGUCGAAGGUGGAAUCAAUAACUGGGGUGAAGUCGUAACAAGGUAGCCGUAUCGGAAGGUGCGGCUGGAUCACCUCCUUUCUAAGGA
Molecule: ribosomal RNA, 595 nt
Filed under: Clostridioides difficile
Lineage: Bacteria; Bacillati; Bacillota; Clostridia; Peptostreptococcales; Peptostreptococcaceae
Description: bacterial SSU rRNA
Rfam family: Bacterial small subunit ribosomal RNA
Source: RNAcentral